Molecule: ribosomal RNA, 496 nt
Filed under: uncultured bacterium
Lineage: Bacteria
Description: partial 16S ribosomal RNA
Rfam family: Bacterial small subunit ribosomal RNA
Source: RNAcentral
GAUGAACGCUGGCGGCGUGCCUAAUACAUGCAAGUCGAGCGAACAGACGAGGAGCUUGCUCCUCUGACGUUAGCGGCGGUCGGGUGAGUAACACGUGGAUAACCUACCUAUAAGACUGGGAUAACUUCGGGAAACCGGAGCUAAUACCGGAUAAUAUAUUGAACCGCAUGGUUCAAUAGUGAAAGACGGUUUUGCUGUCCCUUAUAGAUGGAUCCGCGCCGCAUUAGCUAGUUGGUAAGGUAACGGCUUACCAAGGCAACGAUGCGUAGCCGACCUGAGAGGGGGACCGGCCACACUGGAACUGAGACACGGUCCAGACUCCUACGGGAGGCAGCAGUAGGGAAUCUUCCGCAAGGGGCGAAAGCCUGACGGAGCAACGCCGCGUGAGUGAUGAAGGUCUUCGGAUCGUAAAACUCUGUUAUUAGGGAAGAACAAAUGUGUAAGUAACUAUGCACGUCUGGACGGUACCUAAUCAGAAAGCCACGGCUAACUACGU